RNAcentral lists this long non-coding RNA (372 nucleotides) under Apteryx rowi (Okarito brown kiwi). RNAcentral describes it as "lncRNA (ENSARWG00000005631.1)". The record is from RNAcentral. Lineage: Eukaryota; Metazoa; Chordata; Aves; Apterygiformes; Apterygidae.
GUUUUCCCUUACAAGAUUAUUUUUAGGAUUCUUUUAAUGUUGAGAAUAGCUGAAUUAAGGAAACAGGUGGCUUAGGAGCUGCUCCCAAAGCAUAGUGAUAUUGCUAUACUGGCCAUGAGAACAAAGUCUUAGAGCUGAGUCAAACUUCUAGUCUCUAGCAAGGUCUCAGGCCAAGUGGGGCAGGUGAAGUGCUGCACAAUGGAGGGAAAAGCAGACGGACGGCGGCAAGAGGGAAGGACUUGUCAAUGCUCCCUAAAACGGCAGAUGGUGCUGAAGGCCAGGGCAGCGCACACGAACUGGGGACGCGCUCCAGCUCUGACCAGGAUAUGGCUUUCCUGGUUCUUGCCAUUUGGAACUGUUCUUCUGGUGUCU